AUUGUUUUGGCCCAGUGGUUAAGGCGGGAUUUUGACUCUCAAUUAAGUGGGAGGUCUUGAGUUCGAGUCUCAAUGCAAGCAAUG
Tetracentron sinense is the source of this 84-nucleotide non-coding RNA. Lineage: Eukaryota; Viridiplantae; Streptophyta; Magnoliopsida; Trochodendrales; Trochodendraceae. The record is from the annotation of a GenBank genome assembly.